GAAUCUUCAGCUUCCCUCCCCCACAGUAGAUUUUCAAUUCUGUGAAACAUAAGUGGAUAUAUCAUUUCCCAAGUUGCCCAGACCUAUUACAUUCUUCCUCAUGGCAUAUGCCUGGCUCACAUUACUUCAUUUAGAACUUUUGAUACCAACGUAAUGAAAAAACUUCCCAAGUAUCUGCAAAUCUUAAUUGUGUUCUUUUCUUCAUUUUGCUAAUCACCACCUAACAGGUAAAGGUCUGCUGCUAAUUGUUAAGGACUAUGGAUUC
RNAcentral lists this long non-coding RNA (265 nucleotides) under Fukomys damarensis (Damara mole-rat). Its description in RNAcentral is "lncRNA (ENSFDAG00000029057.1)". The record is from RNAcentral. Lineage: Eukaryota; Metazoa; Chordata; Mammalia; Rodentia; Bathyergidae.